AUGUGCCCGCUUCCCACACGGGAAUGUCACACCGGCACGGGCAGGGCGCUUCCCGCAGCGAGCGGGGAACAGCAGCGGGCGCUGGGGGGGAAGCACAGAAAGCACAGGAAGGAGGGAAAAGAGACAAGAAAAGGAAGAGAAGGAAGGGAGGGAAAAGAGGGAGGGGAGGGAAGGGGCGGGCACGACGCCACGGGGACGGGCUCCGCCCGUGCGCGCAUUCGCGCCGCUCUUUUGGCUCUCGGGCCGCGCCGUAGCGCUCCCGGGAGAGAGCGGCAUUGUGCGGCCUCCGGCCCGCUCCGCGCAGGCGCCGUCCCGCAUUCCCCGCCUGGCGGACCCGGACCCGCCGCCGCCGCCGCCGCGUCCCCCCCCUCCCCUCCCGCGGCCGCGCUCCUCCCUCGCCGCGGAGGAGGCGGCGGCCGCCCCCCUUCCCCAUCCCCGUCCCCCGGUAAGUCACCGAGAGCGAGGCGGCGGCUCCUCUUCCGUCUCCUCCUCGUCUCCCGCACCGCCCGGGGCUCUCCCGCAGCGCCGUUGCCCGCGCGCGGCGCCGCCGCCGCCGCCUCCCCUCAGGCAGCGCGCGCGGAGCCCGCCCGCUCCCCCUCAGCCCCGGGCCCCUCCGCGCGCGCCCAGCGCGGCCCCCGCCCUCUCCCCCAACCCCCCCCCAACCGCGUGGGGACCCCUCACUUCACACCCCCCACUCCCCAAAUUCGGGGUUCGCACGGGGAGCUCCCCCCCAGCCCCACCCCCACAUUCCAGAGCGAGGGGAGGGCCGGGGGGCUGUUAUCGGUACCGCGUGCGUGCAGGCAGGGGAUGCGCUGGGAGCCCCCCGGGCAUGGAGCCCCCCGGCUCCGGGACCGAUGCUGCGAGGUUUGGCAGCGCGCUGCGUGCUCGCCCGAGUUCCCAGACGAGUUCCAGAUGAAAAGGAGCAGGAUCGGCGUUAGGAAAGUUUAUUUUCUUGUGGUGGCCCCCAGGUUGCCCGGGGAGGGCGUGGAGUGUCCCUGCGUGGAGAUGGUCAGGAACAGUCUGGAUGCGAUCCUGUGCCAUGUGCUCUGGGAUGAGCCUGCUGGAGCAGAUGAGCCGCUGUGCUCCCUUCCAGCCUGGCCCAUUCUGGGAUCUCCCCACACCGAGCACAGCCGGCAGGCAACUGGUAGCGCCCUGCUCUGCACCCUCUGGGAAGGAGAUGCUUGGAAUGCCAGUGGAUCCUGA
RNAcentral lists this long non-coding RNA (1203 nucleotides) under Corvus moneduloides (New Caledonian crow). RNAcentral describes it as "lncRNA (ENSCMUG00000018570.1)". Lineage: Eukaryota; Metazoa; Chordata; Aves; Passeriformes; Corvidae. The record is from RNAcentral.